CAUUUAGUUCAUGGAUAUGAGAUUUGGCGUAUGGUUCAUAGAUUUGGUUUAUGGACUUGGUUCAUGGUUCAUGAACUUGGUUCAUGGUUUAUGAGGUUGGGUAUAUGGUUCAUGAGCUUUGAGAUUUGGUUCAUGGUCUAUAGGAUUUGGUUCAUGAACUUGGGUAUGGUUCGUGGAUUUGGUUUAUGGUUCAUGGGUAUGGUUCAUGAGGUUGGGUAUGUGGGAUUUGGUUCAUGAUUCAAGGAAUUUGGUUCAUGAACUUGGGUUUCUGAUUUUUGGAUCAUGGUUCGCGAACUUGGUUCAUUUGGUUCAUGAACUUGAUUUAUAGUUCAUGAGAUUUUGGUAUGGUUUGGUUCAUGAGAUUUGGUGUAUGGGAUUUGUUUCAUGAACUUGGAUGCGAUUCAUAGAUUUGGUAUGUGAACUUGGGUUUCUGAUUUUUGGAUCUUGGUUCAUUUGGUUCAUGGAUUUGGGUUUUUGAUUCUUGAACUUGGGUUUCGAUUUGGUUCAUGACUCAAGGAAUUUGGGUUUUUGAUUCUUGAACUUGGGUUUCAAUUUGGUUCAUGAUUCAAGGAAUUUGGGUUCAUGAGUCUAAGUUGGAAGUUGGGUUCGGGUUGUAUUUGUGGUUCGGAUUGGAUUUGAGUUUGGAUUUAUUUGUAGACUGGAUUGGAUUUGAGUUUGGGUCUUUAUUUGUGCACUUGAUCGGAUUUGGGUUUAGAUUUUUAUGUGGACUUGAUUUGGGUUUUGGGUUUAGGUUUGGAUUUGGGUUUUGGGUUUAGGUUUGGAUUUUUAUCUGGACUUGGUUUCAGUUUGGGUUUGAUUUGGGUUGUAUUUGUAGACUUGAUUUGGAUUUGAGUUUGAUUUGGGUUGGGUUUUGUAAUAUACCAGAUUUUGGUAUAAAAAUAAUAAUAAAUAAAAAUAGUGUGAGAAACUAUUUUUAUUAGAUUUAUAGAGGUAAAACAUAAGUCAGAAUUGACUUGUGCUGAAAUCGGAAUGAAAACAGAAGAUCUAGAAUUUUCUGUUGGAGACGGGACAGAAAAAUAAGCAGAAAAUGCACAGUCUCAGAAAAUUAUGAAAAUUGGCGGAGAUGUCAGAAAUAUUUUUAUGAGGCUAGAUUUAAGGUUUCAUAUUUUUCUGACACCCAUAGAGUGAGAAAUAAAAUCCGAAAGCUAUCUGAUAAAGAUUGCAGUUCGGUACAGUUUUCAGUGACCAAAUGGGGUCGAAACUGAACCAGUGAUCGUCAGCUUGUUAAGUUAAGUAAAACCGAACAUGACUGUCAAGUUUGAGCUCAAACGGAGAUUCAGGGAGCUCCG
RNAcentral lists this long non-coding RNA (1310 nucleotides) under Ananas comosus (pineapple). RNAcentral's name for it is "long non-coding RNA (ACOM_LNC043720)". Lineage: Eukaryota; Viridiplantae; Streptophyta; Magnoliopsida; Poales; Bromeliaceae. The record is from RNAcentral.